Molecule: long non-coding RNA, 1003 nt
Filed under: Nicotiana benthamiana
Lineage: Eukaryota; Viridiplantae; Streptophyta; Magnoliopsida; Solanales; Solanaceae
Description: long non-coding RNA (NBEN_LNC018162)
Source: RNAcentral
GUUUUCGGUUCGCGAAAGUCAAAGAAAGUGAAGGGUUUGACCAGAAAGUGGGGGUGAAAUAAGUAGUGAAAUUUGCAUUGCAGUAUUCUGGUGCUGCUAGAACUGCUUCUUCCCCUAGAGGUAUUGCUGCCAGCUUGGCAAUGUCGUCUACGAGAACAAGGUCUGAAUCCAGGUACACAACCUACAUGGAUAACAAAUAUGUUAGAAAGGGACUGAUAAUUAUUAUGUGUAAUUUUCUCCUUUGAAUAAUUACUAAAUUCUAGUAGAGUAAUAAAAUUCGUCACUAAAUUUGGUUUAUAAUGCCCUUAAUUAGCAAGUAAAAAUGCAGCCGCUAAAAUUCCUUUUCCGGUUGCUCUUCUUCCCCUAGAGGUGUUGCUGCCAGCUUGGCAAUGUCGUCUACGAGAACAAGGUCUGAAUCCAGGUACACAACCUACAUGGAUAACAAAUAUGUUAGAAAGGGAUUAAUAAUAAGUGCAAUUUUCUCCUUUAAUUAAUUACUAAAUUCUAGUAGAGUAAUAAAUUUCGUCACUAAACUUGGUUAUAAAUAUUAAUACCCUUUGGCAAGUAAAAAUUCAGCCGCUAAAAAUCCUUUUCCGGUUGCUAUUUACGACGUAACCGAUAAAGAUCAGAGUCAUUGCCAGUCUAAAAGCUACGUAAAGUAUACGACAAGAUUUCAAUCUGAUCGAAAAUUACAAAACUUUUAGUGACAAGAAGAAUCCCUACCACUGUACCUGAAUUCCAGCCAUAUACCUCCGCAUUUUUAUUCGCUGAUUAUCAUUUCGGUCAUUAAAAACCUAUGGUCGCGAUAUUAAUCCAGUUCCUCCAAUUGUAUUUCCAAGAUCGAAUUUUACAUUCAGCAAUAAUAUUUUUAAGUGCCAAACUACUCUUUUUUUUCAAUGUGCGAAUAUUAACAUAUAUAUAAAUAUACACACACAUCCGAAAACAUAGAAAAUGAUGAACAUUCAGGAAUAAAUGAAGUAAAACAUAGAACGAAUUAAAGGUC